RNAcentral lists this ribosomal RNA (408 nucleotides) under uncultured bacterium. RNAcentral describes it as "partial 16S ribosomal RNA". It matches the Rfam family "Bacterial small subunit ribosomal RNA", at positions 28 to 526 of the family's 1533-position model. The record is from RNAcentral.
GACGAACGCUGGCGGCGUGCUUAACACAUGCAAGUCGAACGAAGUGGCGAACGGGUGAGUAACGCGUAAUCCAUCUGCCCUUCAGAGGGGGACAACAGUUGGAAACGACCGCUAAUACCGCAUACUGAAGGUGGGGAUUGCGUCUGAUUAGCUAGUUGGUGGGGUAACGGCCCACCAAGGCGAAGAUCAGUAGCCGGUCUGAGGAGAUGGACGGGCACAAUGGGACUGAGACACGGCCCAGACUCCUACGGGAGGGAGCAGUGGGGAAACUUCCGCAAUGGGCGAAAGUCUGACGGGGCAACGCCGCGUGAGUGGUGACGGGCUUCGGGUUGUAAAGCUCUGUUAAUCAGGACGCGGUACCGGAAUAGAAAGCCACGGCUAACUACGUGCCAGCAGCCGCGGUAAUUC